This is a long non-coding RNA of Mustela erminea (ermine), 4819 nucleotides long. RefSeq lists it as uncharacterized. The record is from RefSeq and is a predicted model, not a curated record. The transcript is spliced from 3 exons. NCBI's taxonomy places the organism in Eukaryota, Metazoa, Chordata, Mammalia, Carnivora, Mustelidae.
AGAAACACAGGCAGCGGAGACUGUGAACCCCAAGGUGUCUCUGUCACCGUUUGUGAGGCCGAGGAGCAAGAAUACCACCUGACCUUCAUGAGCCACAUGCCGGAGAGCACUCGUACUGGAAGGGACAUCAAGUCAAAGACUCCCUCUGCCCUAUUGUGAAAGGACCUUUCUGGUACUGCUGACCAGUUCCUGCCCAGCUAACCCUGGAGGCAUCUGCCCCUGGAUUCAUCUGUCCCAACGUCCAGGAGUCAGGGGACCUGAAAGGAACAGCCGCAAGCUCUCCAGCCACCAGGAGCGGAGGGCUAGCCCGGGUGUCGGACCAGGCCUCGACCACUGUCCUUCUUCUCUUUGAAAAUCGUGACAGCCAAAAAUGAACCAGACUCCUCCAUGUAAGUGUUGUUUUUCUAUCUGCUCUCUUCUGUUACUCCUUGGAAAGACUCGGAAAAACUAUACGCUCCCUCUUACGGACAACUGCCCAGGGAGACAACCUCUCAGACUGCUGAAUCAGCCUUCGCAAACUCUGAUGUGUCUGUGAUUUGGGGCACCCCUGGGCUUUCCUGUAGCCAGUUCUCCUUCAUAAACCACAUCCAAAUUCCCUUCAGUGUCAGCUUCUACUUCGCAGCCAGGCUUUCCCAGUGCCUUCUUGUUACCGUUCUCCAGUGAUACCAGUCCUUGACCAACAAGGUACAGAUACCCGUGUGCCCUAGAUAAGUCCACUGGCAUCACCAGGCUCUUAACGAUUUUCUAAAUCAGAUUCACCCCUCAUCACAAAGAAUUUUCACCAGAAGCAUCUGCUUUGACAAGGAAUUUAGAACAACUCUCUAUUUCAGACUAGGAGACUGACUUCCUGAAUGUGCCAAAAACCUAACCAAUCCCUGGCUGGACCGAGCAGACGUGGCGCUGACCCCCUGAGCAGGGCCGCUUCAGCCCGACAGCACUGAUCUUUGUCCGGGGCGGGGCGCUGAUCCUUCUCCUGGGGCCUCUGAGCACCCAGACUGGCAUAUAAGCAGUUCUCUCCCUCUGGUUCUGUCAGUGAACCCCAGCUCUCCGCAGCCAAACUGAGACACCUUAUUGGUCAGCUCCCCUGAAUUUACAUUAUCAGGUUAGAGGAGACCAGGAAGCAUUCAUAAUUCAGGAGUCGCUUCCUUUGGCUGAUCUCUACCUCGCUGAUUAGGGGUGCACGAACAGGCUAGGGCCCCAGACUUUGCUUUAACCCAUCGAACCACUGACAACUCAGGUGCUAAGGCUAUCGCUGCCCAGCAAGACUCCCGAGGUUCUCUGCCUAAACUUGUCUUGGAUGGCAGGCUAGCCCUCGAUUACCUCUUGGCAGUACAGGCUGUCUGUGCCACAGUCAGUCAAGAUGCAGACUUGGCUUAACACUUCCAGGGAAGUCAAGGUUCAGUUACAUUGUCUGAGAAAAAGCCACUGGUUACAAGUCCAGUUUGACUCAUCUUAGAAUUCUGAUUUAUUCAGCUGGUUCCCAAAAAGACCAGGCUUAUGGUUUAAAUCUAUACUACAAUUGGGUCUUUCUAGCCUACUUGUCAUUUUGUUUUAUGAUUCUUUAAAGUACUGAGUUGCCCAUCUGGCCUUUGUGAAAAUAACGAGCCUGACGCAUUUCAAAGCCUUGGGCAAGCAGCUGUCUGACAUCUACACCCUUGACAAGGUCUCCUUGCCUUGACCGUCCACUUUGACCCAAUAUAAGUUGCUCAGGAGUGGCCUUUUGCUUGCUACGAUUCCCAAAGCUGUUCUCACCCUGAAGGAAGGCAUGGUAAAGAAUAAAGAUACGAGUAUGAGUGAAGAAACAACACGGAUCAUCAAAAGGUGAAGUCCCUGCAAAAGACACUCAGCGUGUAUUGCAUGAUUGCUGCCCCUCACUCGAUACUGAAGGGGAAAUGUAGAACCAAACUAAAAUGGAGUCACUUAUGUCAAGGACAAAAUGGAGACCAUCAGUGCAGGCUCAUAAAGGAAAAUUAACCUAUCCUUACACAAGUUCUAGCUCUUCCCAGAAAUCAGAGGACACCAGCCAGUCUCCCAAAGCCAAUUCGGUUUAGUCGCUUUCUGAACUUUCCUGUCCCCUGAAAAUAUGCAUGGUUUGGUUUUUGGCCUUGCUGUUGUUCAGAUGGGGCCACUGAGAUCCCCUUUCCAGUUCCCUCCUCUGUGGCACAUGACAUGUGAAGAUGGUCUUCCCUCCAAGGGGCUUGUGCUCCAUCUAACAUCUUUGAUUACGGAAGGAAUAAAAGGGAAAACAAUGCCUAAACAACAUGGUUAUCGGUGAUGGUUUCUGCAAAAGAUCUUGAGCAAUAGUGGGGAAUGUGAAAGGAUUUCAAUCUUAAAUGAAAUCAGAGGCUAUGAAAUGAACAAUCUCACACAUGUCCCGUCCCCUCAGAAGAAUGGAACUUAAGAACUCAGAAAUUGAUUUUCCGUAAAUACGUAACUUACUUACAGAAGACUGAGACUGACUGCUUAACCAGAGAACUAUGCCAAGGAUCUUUUCCUGUCCUGCAGCCGGCGAAUUUGUUUAGACUCUGGUUGGACUUUUCCCUCUUCGCACACUUUGCAAAUCCAGCCUGCCCAAGCCCUCAACCGCUCACCUGUCGCUUGCUACAGCCUGCAUUUCUCAAAAUGCACUUCUUCUGCCACUCCCACAUGAACCCCAUUUCUGGCCGCUGGAGCCUGCCUCAGUUGACCUACUUAGUGAGGUGGUUCGCCAUCACUGGGAACAUUCCAGUUAGAUAAUCCACGUAAGUCAACCUGAAAGCAAGGUUUGCCAAACGCAUCAGAAUGGGUUACCCACCUUCAUGGGCAUGCGGAAGCCUGCAAAAGAUUUCACAAUUCCAGAAUAGCUUCAUUAAGAGAGUCAUGCAAAGGAUAAUGAAAAGUGAAGGCCACAAGAGGUACCCGAAACCAAGACCAUAACACUGAUGUGACUCUUCCUGAGCACUCAUGAUCCGCUCAUCCUCUGAAGUGUCUUUUCCCUCUGAAGAGACCACAUGACUGUCAACAAAAGUCUGCCCCGUUACUGGCCCCAAAGGUGGGCCUCCGAUGAGCCCUUCUCAUAGUUGACGGGACUCUGAGGGGUUUUCUGAUAACCUGUGACCAGUCAGUCCAUUAAACAGCCAACGGGAAACUAAAAUGGAAAUGAAUGGAGAGCCUUGCUCAAUUCUGAUAGAUUCCAGGGCUAUACGCUCUACUUUAUGCCUCACUUGCUUGAGACCCUGCAGGUGAGAGCCUGGGAAAAGCGGCAGAAGCUGGCAAAGGGCAGGAAUCCUGAUCGGAGUCCGCUUCCCUGACUUCUUACAACUCAAGUCUUUACAAGAACAGAAGCACAGCCAUUUAAAUGGAAGCAAUGCAGAGCCCACCUAGCAUUUUUAGCAAUCCUCAAAUCUCCACACCCACCCCCCCUCCUCCUGCCAUCACCUCAAAAGCUUUAUAAUUACUGUAAAAUUCUGGCCUCAGGAUAACAAAAUUCUGUCUUGAAGGAACUAGAGAUGUAAGUGUUCUAUCUGGUUUUCUCUAGAGUGUCCCUGGAAAAUCUCAAAGGAUUUGUUUCUCCCCUUACAAAAGAUGCUUCACUAAUUAGGUUUAUUUGCUACAUUAAAUUACAUGGGAAGCUUUGUCGUGUAAGUAAUAAAAACCUUCUUAGGUUAUUUUUAUAGACCAUGUUAUUCUUGAAAAUGUAUGAAGUUUCUAGAAAUCUGAUAUGUCCUGGUAUAAUGUUAUUCAUAAUUUCAGUUAUUAUCUUUAAAUGUUGUAUAUCACAGAAAUAAUCAAAUUUCCUUAUCAAUUUCAUUAUAAUGAACUCCAAUCAGAUCUGAGCAUUUUAAAGUGUUUUGUCAUUUAUAGCCACUUGAUUUUGCAGAACUGAGACUCGGGAAGGAAUCCUACCAAGAACUCCUGACCCCUGACACUGCUGCUCGAUUACAAGGUGCUGAACCCUGAUCGUCCGCCUCCUGGGCAGGAGUGAGCUCGAGCGAGCCUGCACUUUGGGACUUCUCCCUCACUCUCGCAGAUGUUGCAGAAUUGGCUUCUAGAACAAGACCUGCCUCAUGAAUUCCUAGGCUCUCUGCCCGAGCUGUUCUGACGCGUAGCCCCGGAGUGUCUCUCAGCUGAGGUGCUGCUGUGGCCAAACAGUGCCACUUGCUGAACUCGGACAGAUGCUUUCCAGGAAGCGAAGACUCAGUUAUCCAAGACCCCCGCACAUGGCAGUGGGCUUACGAAAGGGACUCCGUCGGUGGGGUCCUCCUCAGCAGUUGUUCCUCUGCUCUAACCACAGUCAUCCCACUCGCGCACGCUUUGCUCUCAAAAGCUUUAACUACAUGGUUGCAGCCGUUCACCACCCAGCAAGGGAUCUCCCUACGGACAGAACUUCAGAAAAGGAAUGAAGAGAAUGACCAGCUUAUAGAAUGAACCUGAUCUAGUGACCUGUGAGUACCACACAGAGAUUCAGCAAAACCUGUGAGAACUGAGUGUUAGCUACAAGUAACCCUAAUGCCUUAAGUUUUGAUCACAUCUCUUGGUGAGGCUAGGAGUCUGAAUAAAAGGAAGGAAUUGUUAAAAAUAAGAAAACAAGUCCAAAAUGGAGUCUCCGAUGCUAAGACCCACAUCACCAAACUGAGACCUCAACUUAAUUAGCAUCAGUUCUCCCAGAGUCAUAACCCAAUCAAAAAUGACCUUGCAAGAACCAGUCGAUUUUUUGCCUAGUAUAAAUCCGUGUUCCUGCUCCCUUCUGCCUAGAGAAGUCUCAUCUGGAACAGCUCCUUUCUAUCUGCUAGAGAUGCUGCCUGAGUCUUGAAUUACUGAAUAAAGCCUAUACAGUCUC